RNAcentral lists this ribosomal RNA (253 nucleotides) under uncultured bacterium. Its description in RNAcentral is "partial 16S ribosomal RNA". It matches the Rfam family "Bacterial small subunit ribosomal RNA", at positions 524 to 776 of the family's 1533-position model. The record is from RNAcentral.
GACGAACCGUGCGAACGUUGUUCGGAAUCACUGGGCUUAAAGGGCGCGUAGGCGGGUGGUUAAGUCAGGGGUGAAAUCCUCCCGCUCAACGGGAGAACAGCUUUUGAUACUGGCCAUCUUGAGUGGGGUAGGGGCAUGUGGAACUUCCGGUGGAGCGGUGAAAUGCGUAGAUAUCGGAAGGAACGCCGGUGGCGAAAGCGACGUGCUGGACCCUUUCUGACGCUGAGGCGCGAAAGCCAGGGGAGCAAACGGG